AUUGAACGCUCGCGGGAUGCUUUACACAUGCAAGUCGAACGGCAGCGCGGACUUCGGUCUGGCGGCGAGUGGCGAACGGGUGAGUAAUGUAUCGGAACGUGCCCAGUAGCGGGGGAUAACUACGCGAAAGCGUAGCUAAUACCGCAUACGCCCUACGGGGGAAAGCAGGGGAGCGUAAGACCUUGCACUAUUGGAGCGGCGGAUUUCGGAUUAGCUAGUUGGUGAGUUAACGGCUCACCAAGGCGACGAUCCGUAGCUGGUUUGAGAGUACGACCAGCCACACUGGGACUGAGACACGGCCCAGACUCCUACGGGAGGCAGCAGUGGGGAAUUUUGGACAAUGGGGGCAACCCUGAUCCAGCCAUCCCGCGUGUGCGAUGAAGGCCUUCGGGUUGUAAAGCACUUUUGGCAGGAAAGAAACGUCGCGGGCUAAUACCCCGUGGAACUGACGGUACCUGCAGAAUAAGCACCGGCUAACUACGUG
Molecule: ribosomal RNA, 484 nt
Filed under: uncultured bacterium
Lineage: Bacteria
Description: partial 16S ribosomal RNA
Rfam family: Bacterial small subunit ribosomal RNA
Source: RNAcentral